AAUUUUCCACAAUGGGGGCAACCCUGAUGGAGCAACGCCGCGUGCAGGAUGAAUGCCUUCGGGUUGUAAACUGCUUUUAUAUGUGAAGAUUAUGACGGUAGCAUAUGAAUAAGGAUCGGCUAACUCCGUGCCAGCAGCCGCGGUCAUACGGAGGAUCCAAGCGUUAUCCGGAAUUACUGGGCGUAAAGAGUUGCGUAGGCGGCAUAGUAAGCGAGUAGUGAAAUGAUGUGGCUCAACCAUGUGUCCAUUACUUGAACUGCUAAGCUAGAGCAUGAAAGAGGUAGCUGGAAUUCCCUGUGUAGGAGUGAAAUCCGUAGAUAUAGGGAGGAACACCGAUGGCGUAGGCAGGCUACUGGUUCAUUGCUGACGCUCAGGCACGAAAGCGUGGGGAGCGAC
Molecule: ribosomal RNA, 396 nt
Filed under: uncultured bacterium
Lineage: Bacteria
Description: bacterial SSU rRNA
Rfam family: Bacterial small subunit ribosomal RNA
Source: RNAcentral